UGCGGUGGUUAUGGCGGUGGGGAGACACCCGGUUACAUUCCGAACCCGGAAGUUAAGCCUGCCUGCGCUGAUGGUACUGCACUGGGGACGGUGUGGGAGAGUAGGUCGCUGCCGCAC
This 117-nucleotide ribosomal RNA is filed under the name Spongiactinospora rosea. RNAcentral also lists the same sequence under 2 other names. Lineage: Bacteria; Bacillati; Actinomycetota; Actinomycetes; Streptosporangiales; Streptosporangiaceae. The record is from RNAcentral.